RNAcentral lists this transfer RNA (91 nucleotides) under Felis catus (domestic cat). It matches the Rfam family "tRNA". From Rfam's summary of the family: Transfer RNA (tRNA) molecules are approximately 80 nucleotides in length. The record is from Rfam by way of RNAcentral. Lineage: Eukaryota; Metazoa; Chordata; Mammalia; Carnivora; Felidae.
GCCUAGGUGGCUCAGUCAGUUGAGCAUCUGACUUUGGCUCAGGUCCUGAUCUCACGGUUCAGUUCAUGAGUUUGAGCCCCGUGUCUGGGCU